This 341-nucleotide ribosomal RNA is filed under the name Alphaproteobacteria bacterium 41-28. RNAcentral describes it as "bacterial SSU rRNA". It matches the Rfam family "Bacterial small subunit ribosomal RNA", at positions 1 to 354 of the family's 1533-position model. Lineage: Bacteria; Pseudomonadati; Pseudomonadota; Alphaproteobacteria. The record is from RNAcentral.
UGAACAUGAGAGUUUGAUCCUGGCUCAGAACGAACGCUGGCGGCAUGCUUAACACAUGCAAGUUGAACGCAGAAUAGGGCUUCGGCUCUAUUGCUGAGUAGCAAACGGGUGAGUAACGCGUGGGAAUCUGCCUUCUUGUGGGGGAUAACUAAGGGAAACUUUAGCUAAUACCGCAUACGCUCUACGGAGGAAAGGCUUCGGCCGCAAGAAGAGGAGCCCGCGUCAGAUUAGGUAGUUGGUAGGGUAAAAGCCUACCAAGCCAAUGAUCUGUAGCUGGUCUGAGAGGAUGAUCAGCCACACUGGGACUGAGACACGGCCCAGACUCCUACGGGAGGCAGCAG